Molecule: long non-coding RNA, 1171 nt
Organism: Oncorhynchus tshawytscha (Chinook salmon)
Lineage: Eukaryota; Metazoa; Chordata; Actinopteri; Salmoniformes; Salmonidae
Source: Ensembl
AUUUAUUAAUUUAUUUAUGUAGGCCUAUCUAUUUAUUAAUUUAUUUAUGUAGACCUAUCUAUUUAUUAAUUUAUUUAUGUAGGCCUAUCUAUUUAUUAAUUUAUUUAUGUAGACCUAUCUAUUUAUUAAUUUAUUUUUACUUCAAGUUUGUUUAGAAUCUUCAUUUGCACUUUAAUUUACUUUUUUUUUGCAAGCCUUCGUCGUGAAUAUGCCAAAGCAUUUGACACUUUCUAAAUAUCCUCUUAUUUUAUUUGCCACUUUAUAAACCUAUUGCAUGCAACAAAAAAACUAAAAAACGAUAAUAUUGAAAUCUAUGCCAAUUCAAUGAAGCUUUGGAUUUUUGCCAAAAUCUAGAUAGCAUCCAGCGGCAAUAUUUCUUGGGAGUCUUAUCAUAAAAAACUAUAGAGCAAUAAUGCAUGGUAUUAGUAACGCGUAAUAAUAAUGACAUCAUCUUUCUAUCCAGUACUCUUAGUAGUCAUACACAUUGAAUAUCAGGGAAAAGCCCGUGAGUGUGGUAUUUAAUGGAUAAACCCAUGGGGUGGGAUAGGGAGUGGGUCCUUUUGUAAAUGGUUACGCAACUGCCUGACACGUCUUAGAACGUCGACUUCUGGUGCUAAUGGAAUAGUUCCAGAACAAUCCAGAACAUCUCACCACCAAGUCUGUGGAAUGAACGCCCGAGGCCCAAACGUAGGCGGAGCUGCCCCGUAUCACAUCUCUCACAGGUGGGCAAGCUUAGGGGUCACUUCUGAGAUCCCUUGCACUGCACCAGAGCUCAAAAUGAUCAACACAAUAAGAUGACCUUAUUCUAGCCAUGAUAAAGUCCAUUCAUCGUAUUAAAGCACUUCCUUAUACUACGGACGUUUCAACUUUUUAAAGAUAGUAGCACAAGUAUAGAUUCAGGUAGAAAGGCCUUGUAUUAGCUAUAGGCUAACCGCUGUUUUUGUACAAUGCUGAUCAAAGGAACAUAACUGUUUAUUACAAGAUGCCUUGUACAUAACCCUUUGAUGAAUCUAAUAUUUCUACAAACUGUAAAGAAUCGAACUAAUCUUAUUUCUGGAGUUAUUUUCCCUGGGAUUUUUAUGCCUAGCAUUUGAACUAUUUAAAAGCACAAUGGAAGCAGACAUUUUUGUCUCACUUCAUAAUAAAGAAUGAAUAAAGACCUAACACAAUA